UCCACGCCCUAAACGAUGGAUGCUAGUCGUUGGACGCAAGUUCAGUGACGCAGUUAACACGAUAAGCAUCCCGCCUGGGGAGUACGGCCGCAAGGCUAAAACUCAAAGGAAUAGACGGGGACCCGAACAAGUGGUGGAGCAUGUGGUUUAAUUCGAAGAUACGCGAAGAACCUUACCUGGGCUUGACAUCCCAAGAACCCUAUAGAGAUAUGGGGGUGCCUGCUUGCAGGAGC
RNAcentral lists this ribosomal RNA (233 nucleotides) under uncultured bacterium. RNAcentral describes it as "partial 16S ribosomal RNA". It matches the Rfam family "Bacterial small subunit ribosomal RNA", at positions 794 to 1027 of the family's 1533-position model. The record is from RNAcentral.